This is a long non-coding RNA of Rosa chinensis, 284 nucleotides long. RefSeq lists it as uncharacterized. Lineage: Eukaryota; Viridiplantae; Streptophyta; Magnoliopsida; Rosales; Rosaceae. The record is from RefSeq and is a predicted model, not a curated record. The transcript has 3 exons.
CAAAUUAAGUGUUAAGAAUAUUAUGAGCAUCACGUGGUCAACUAUAUCAGACUCAUUAUCCUGGGGACAUGCUAAACCUUUUUGUACGUGGGGGCUUAUUAUUAUUGUCGGGACCGGUCUAUAUUUCUCUUAUUUGGUGGUCCAAAGGGUACAAAAUCAUUUGGAUAGCUCGGCAAUUUCAGAACGUUAAUUUCCAAGCAUGUUCUUAGAGGAGAAAGCUUCUUGAUUGAUGCUGUUGAACAAUCGGGUCAUCAUCUUAACAGGACCUUGUGGGAAUAAGCUGU